AUACGGAGGGUGCAAGCGUUAAUCGGAAUCACUGGGCGUAAAGCGCGCGUAGGCCGCCUUCUAAGUCGGACGUGAAAGCCCUCGGCUCAACCGAGGAACUGCGUUCGAAACUGGGAGGCUUGAGUCCUGGAGAGGGUGGCGGAAUUCCGGGUGUAGGAGUGAAAUCCGUAGAUAUCCGGAGGAACACCGGUGGCCGAAGGCGGCACCUGGACAGGUACUGACGCUGGA
RNAcentral lists this ribosomal RNA (228 nucleotides) under uncultured bacterium. RNAcentral describes it as "partial 16S ribosomal RNA". It matches the Rfam family "Bacterial small subunit ribosomal RNA", at positions 523 to 750 of the family's 1533-position model. The record is from RNAcentral.